Molecule: non-coding RNA, 254 nt
Filed under: uncultured bacterium
Lineage: Bacteria
Also listed under: 1 other name
Description: partial 16S ribosomal RNA
Rfam family: Bacterial small subunit ribosomal RNA
Source: RNAcentral
GACGAACCGUGCGAACGUUAUUCGGAAUCACUGGGCUUAAAGCGCGUGUAGGCGGGCCGGCACGUCGGUCGCUGAAAUCCCCCGGCUCAACCGGGGAAGGGGCGCCGAUACGACCGGCCUGGAGGGGCGUAGGGGGACCUGGAACUUCCGGUGGAGCGGUGAAAUGCGUUGAGAUCGGAAGGAACGCCCGUGGCGAAAGCGAGGUCCUGGACGCCAUCUGACGCUGAGACGCGAAAGCCAGGGGAGCGAACGGG